Molecule: ribosomal RNA, 325 nt
Filed under: uncultured eukaryote
Lineage: Eukaryota
Description: partial 18S ribosomal RNA
Rfam family: Eukaryotic small subunit ribosomal RNA
Source: RNAcentral
CCCUUAGAUGUUCUGGGCUGCACGCGCGCUACACUGAUGCGCUCAACGAGUUUUAACCUUGCCUGGAAAGGUUGGGUAAUCUUUUUAAAACGCAUCGUGAUGGGGAUAGAUUAUUGCAAUUAUUAAUCUUCAACGAGGAAUUCCUAGUAAGCGCGAGUCAUCAGCUCGUGCUGAUUACGUCCCUGCCCUUUGUACACACCGCCCAUCGCUCCUACCGAUUGAGUGAUCCGGUGAAUAAUUCGGACUGCGGCAUUGACCGGUUCCCGAUCGUUGCUGCGGAAAGUUUAGUGAACCUUAUCACUUAGAGGAAGGAGAAGUCGUANCA